GCCUCCAUAGCCUCACAAAUCUCAUUGCCCCUCCGAAACUCUUCUGUCAUUAUGCGCAAAGUGCUGGAUGACACAUUGUAGCUAGAAUUCAUACAAGGAUACGCAGGUGUAAUAAUAGGCAUCAAAUGGAACCUGUCUUUUGGAUUUCUUCUAGGAUCCCAAACCUGAAGACCAAGAGAUCCUUCUUCAAUGGCACAGAGCAUGACUGGAUUUGGCCAACGCCAUUGAGUAUAUACCCUAAAGAACCGAGAUACUAGCAUAUUGGGCAAUGCAUUGGGAUAUAGCUGGCAUAUACGAGCAACAAGUAAUGCCCAAUUUAUACCAC
This 325-nucleotide unclassified non-coding RNA is filed under the name Hevea brasiliensis (rubber tree). The record is from RNAcentral. Lineage: Eukaryota; Viridiplantae; Streptophyta; Magnoliopsida; Malpighiales; Euphorbiaceae.